UCACAGAAGCAUCCUUGAAGAGCGUCAGAAAAUAUAUAUGAUGCAGGAAAGAAUCUCAAAGAAGGAGAAGAACUUACAGGCAGCAUAGUCAACGCGCCUCGGGUCAUUACUGCCGUAAUGUCGUUCCUCCUGUUCGUACUACUCGCUGCUGUUUGCGUUAGCGACGCAGCAACCUGGAGGCCUGUACUGCCCCCCCUCGAGGAAGGUGGCUGGAAGGACAUAAACCCAGACAGCAGUGAUGUUGCACGAGUGAGAGAUUUUAUCGCACGUACAAUGAACUCCAGAGGAGGUACUCGUCACGUGAAGAAAGUCCUACGAGCAGAGGAACAAGUUGUUUCGGGAAAGAACUACAGGUUGACACUUCUUGUCGAGGAAACCCGGACAAUGCUGUGCGCGCUCACGACACCCAGGCCUCGUCAGUUCACUUGCGUGGCAGUCGUCCGUGAAGUGCCCUGGCUGCGUUCGCUAUCACUGUCUUCAAUGAACUGUGUAGAACCAAGGAGCCUGAUUUCCGCGAGGUGUUGACGGAAUAAAGAGUCACUGGAUGUGUACCA
Ornithodoros turicata is the source of this 554-nucleotide long non-coding RNA. RefSeq lists it as uncharacterized. The record is from RefSeq and is a predicted model, not a curated record. Lineage: Eukaryota; Metazoa; Arthropoda; Arachnida; Ixodida; Argasidae. The transcript is spliced from 3 exons.